CUUCUCCUCCUCCUCUUCUCCUCCCUUCAGCGCUGCCCGCCGCCAGCCACCGCCCUCCUUCCCUCACGCCCCCGAGGCGGCGGGGAGCUGCUCGCACAGGCUCACGCAGGAGGUGAACUCACUAUAUUGUUAUACACCUCGCAAACAAGAAGAAAGCUCAUUUUGGUCUCUGUACAUUUAUACAUUUUCACGGCAAGGGCCCACCUCCUCAUUCUACAGAUGACCAAAUUUUAAAGGCCAGGCAGACAACUUGGAUUCAGAAUAUUCUUUUGCUGCAGCUGUCCAAAAUCUAAAAGCACUGUGUUUAUCUUCACUAAGCACAUCGCUCUACUGCUGCGCCGCAACUUAGCAUCAUCCUGUGUGGAAGUGGUAGCAGAAAUGUGUUGAACAUGGCAACAACGGCAUACCGACAGAGCUCCUCUUUCCUCAGACAACAGCAGUCCGUAGCACAGCAUCAACACUGAACAGAGACUGAGGCUGUAUAACAGCAAAACCACCAAAUGCUCCUGUACCACCCAUCUGGGACAGCACACGCACCCUAAAGAGAUGGUUUAAGAAAUCUGAAUCUCAUCUGACUUUGUUGGCGUUGUCUUGGCCAUGCUGCAGAACUGAAAGGAGCAGUCAACAAACGUUGUUCCUGGAUAACAAGACAGAUGUUACUGCAUUACACACCGCACUGGACAUAAGACCGGAUGGUCCAGUGAGCUGUUGCAACUAAGUGAAAAACUGAUGCGGAACUGUAGUCCCUCUGGAUUUGGUAUUACGCAGCGGUGCCAGUGAAUUUUUGCAGUAAAAUGUCUUGAGCUUGUGACAAAAGGAUGUCAGAAAAUCAAAACCGAUGAGUACAACUCCCCUGAAACCUGGCCAACGUUCUCCCACUCACCCACCUGCAGUCAGCAGCAUGGUGUUGUGUUGCGGUGUUUGUCCUUUAUGGUGAAAAAAACGUUAUGGGAUGUCUGCAUGUUGCCAAAAUGGAGAAUCUUUCUUUACAUAGAGAAUCGUAAUAAUCCUACAACUACUAUGUAAUAAAAAUUCAGAAACACAUACAUUAAAAUUCUUAGACGACUCAUGCUCUGCAGCAGCGUUGUAGCAUGCAUUCCUAUCUGCUACAUGGUAUUAAGCUUUUGAAGGGGCUUUUGGACAGUGCUCUGGCUGCUUGAAACACUGAAAUGCUUUGGAAUCCAGCCAUGAGGUUUCGUUACUGGACUGUUUCUCCUACUGUUCACUGAUUUUAAAACCAGAGUGUCAUCCUUCAGCCCCCUCAGUUACUUGCUGGGCCCUACAGUACUUCCAAUUUUACUGAAAAGACCUUUUGUGCACAUUCCAAAUUUGUCUGUGUUCAAAUCCUGUUAAUUCUGGACUGAGGCUGACAUAAAGAAUCUCCAUUCCUUCUGGAACACCUACAUCCACAAAUUUUCUCCUGCAAGGCAGACUUCUCUGGAGAACAAAUGUGGGGUGGGGACAUUUAACAUAACCCUUUGGUGAGCUACCUCCAAACCACAACUUCGGUUAUUUGACUACUUUGGGUCAUUAUUCAUAUAUAAAAAGGAACAGAACCAAAAAGUGAAUCCUUAUUCUAGCUGUGAUCACGUGAACUUCUGAAAAUACUCCAAACAAAUCUUUUCCCAUCCAAAAUGAUGCAAUGGAACUGAAAAGGUAAAGCUACUCCAAGAGCAGGAGCAUCACCUAGACAAUGCUGAGGACAAAUCCAGCAAAGAAUGGGCAUAAAUUUAUCUUCCAAAACAAAUAAUAAAUGUGUUAUUCUUUAUGAACACUUGAUGACAGAUCAAGGCUUAAAAAAAUUCGUAGUUAUCUGCAGUCAAUUUCUUAAUCACUAUAAUAGCUUAAUCCUGCAACAGCAGACAGGUCUUUACCUAGCUUGGGUUAAAUGCAGGAAUGGGAGAUUGUAUAGCUUUCCACCUCUUUCACAUGUUAACUCAUUAAACAUUUUCAAAAACUGAA
Molecule: long non-coding RNA, 1962 nt
Organism: Anas platyrhynchos (mallard)
Lineage: Eukaryota; Metazoa; Chordata; Aves; Anseriformes; Anatidae
Source: RefSeq, a predicted model, not a curated record